This 2892-nucleotide unclassified non-coding RNA is filed under the name Agrilus planipennis (emerald ash borer). RNAcentral describes it as "potassium voltage-gated channel protein Shal, transcript variant X3". The stretch from base 1350 to 1463 matches the Rfam family "Potassium channel RNA editing signal". Lineage: Eukaryota; Metazoa; Arthropoda; Insecta; Coleoptera; Buprestidae. The record is from RNAcentral.
CGCAGUCGCAGUGUUACGGAUCUUGAUAAAAAUGGUGCGUUAGCGCGAGUUUCCGCGGAAAAAAAAUCAGAAGCAGUGGGACCUAGUGCGGCUGUUCGUCACUCGCUGUCGUUUCCUAAUAUGCUAAGUGCUUCAUCCUUGUUAUCAAUAAAAUCCUUCGGUUCUGUCCUCGAGAGGCUUGCUACGAUGCAGCUGUAACAAUACCACCGUUGUAGUGGACAAUCAUUCCGCCUCAUAGUAUGGCCUCGGUCGCCGCUUGGCUGCCCUUCGCACGGGCGGCGGCCAUCGGUUGGGUGCCCAUUGCAACUCACCCGCUACCGCCACCUCCCAUCCCUAAAGACCGAAGGAAAGCGGACGACGAAAAAUUGCUCAUUAACGUAUCCGGACGCCGCUUCGAGACUUGGCGGAAUACCCUCGAAAAGUAUCCGGACACCCUCUUGGGCUCAAACGAACGAGAGUUCUUCUACGACGAAGAUAGUAAGGAAUACUUUUUCGAUCGGGAUCCCGACAUAUUCCGGCAUAUUCUUAACUAUUAUCGAACAGGCAAGUUACAUUAUCCUAAGCAUGAAUGCCUUACGAGUUACGAUGAAGAACUUGCGUUCUUCGGAAUACUUCCUGAUGUUAUUGGAGACUGCUGUUAUGAAGAUUAUAGAGAUAGGAAACGCGAAAAUGCGGAAAGACUUAUGGACGACAAGUUGUCGGAAAACGGCGAUCAAAAUCUUCAGCAGCUGACCAACAUUCGGCAGAAGAUGUGGCGUGCUUUUGAAAAUCCUCACACAUCAACUGCUGCACUCGUUUUCUAUUAUGUUACUGGUUUCUUCAUUGCCGUUUCGGUUAUGGCAAACGUUGUGGAAACCGUUCCAUGUGGUAUUAGGCCUGGAAGGGCCGGCCCUCUUCCAUGUGGCGAACGUUACAAGAUUGUCUUCUUCUGUUUAGAUACUGCUUGCGUUAUGAUUUUCACGGCCGAAUAUCUUUUGCGUCUUUUUGCGGCUCCUAAUAGAUAUAAAUUUGUGAGGAGCGUAAUGAGUAUUAUUGAUGUCGUGGCUAUCCUUCCGUAUUAUAUUGGUCUUGGAAUUACAGACAACGACGAUGUGUCUGGAGCGUUUGUGACCCUAAGAGUAUUCAGAGUGUUUCGAAUAUUUAAGUUUUCCAGACAUUCUCAAGGUCUCAGAAUUCUCGGUUAUACUUUAAAAUCUUGUGCUUCUGAGCUUGGAUUUCUUGUUUUCUCGUUGGCGAUGGCUAUUAUUAUAUUUGCAACAGUUAUGUUCUACGCUGAGAAAAAUGUGAACGAAACCAAUUUUACUUCGAUUCCUGCAGCUUUUUGGUAUACCAUCGUCACCAUGACUACCUUAGGCUAUGGAGAUAUGGUGCCUGAAACAAUAGCUGGUAAAAUUGUUGGAGGAGUUUGCUCUCUUAGUGGUGUCCUUGUAAUUGCCUUGCCUGUACCAGUAAUUGUAUCAAAUUUCAGCAGAAUCUACCAUCAAAACCAGAGGGCUGACAAACGCAAAGCUCAGAGGAAAGCAAGACUGGCGCGCAUAAGAAUUGCAAAAGCAUCAUCGGGAGCGGCUUUCGUAAGCAAGAAGAAAGCUGCCGAAGCUCGUUUGGCUGCCCAAGAAUCAGGAAUUGAAUUAGACGACAAUUAUCGUGAAGAAGACAUUUUCGAAUUGCAACAUCAUCACCUGCUCCGUUGUUUGGAGAAAACGACAGACAGGGAAUUCGUCGAGUUAGAAGUGCCGUACAAUGGACAUCCAAAGAGACCAGGAUCUCCAUCUCCGUUAGCAAGUCCAGCACAUUCAGCUGUGUCAAUUGGUCUUUUACAGUCAUGCUGCGGACGAUGCUGCCCUCGUAGGUAUCAACAAGCCUGCGGUAAAUAUAUGCCAGCCGCAGCCGCAGCCCAAAGUAACCAAACCGGAGGCGGAAUGGACGGGACCUAUCUCGUAGAAGCUUCGUUUUAAAAUAAUGGUAACCUUCCGCCCUUGAUAUUCGACUUUUCAUUGUAGAGUGAUGAUAAAAAAAAAUUGAAAAACGAUUAUUAGUUUACGAGACUUAAUUAUUAAUUCUUUACUUUCCAAAACAUUGUUCGCGUGUCGAAGAUGUAGUGCGACUUAUGUGAUAUCGCAUAAUAUAAUUAUAUUUAGGUCUCAAAACGACAACGCGGACACUUUUUAAAAACCCCUGCCGGACGCCCUGCAAACUAGGACAAAUCGGGGGAAUCCCGGACGGAUGGCAGCCCUACCUUAGAUCAACAUUGAUACUUUAGCAACCCUGAUGGGGAUAAACUGAAAAUGUAAACAGUCACCAAAAUUACUUCAUUGGUUAUUACAAAAUUGUGCAUUUCUGGGUCAAAUGCAUUUUAUUUAUACCUUCAUAUACAUAUAAGGGAUAUUUAAAGUAGAAUAGAUAAUAACAAACAAGUACCUGUAGCAAGACACUUACAUUAUUAUGUUAUAUUUUAUAUUAAAGUAAAACGCAUAAAUAGAACUGUCCCAGUGUUCAAUAAUAUAACAAUUUUAUCUGCCGUAAGUGCAUAUGUUACAUUGUAUGUUCUAUGUUGUAUAGAAAUAAUAAGUACUUUUUUUAUUUCACACUCUGUAAGCUUCGGUAACUAGAGUAUUUUACUUAUUACGAAAAAGUAUCAAGCUUGGGCAAUUAAAGUACCUGUCUACAUAAAAAAGAAGAAAUAACUAGAAUUAAGAUGUUAAUUUUUCAAUUUUUUGUAAAUUCAUUUAUAAAUUAAUUAUUUUUUUUUUGCUUUGGUACAAUAAGAGAAUUUUUUGUAAGAAAUAAUUCAUAACAUAUUAAUAUGACGCUUUGAUAAGUAACUUAUUGUAUUGCUCAAAAAAAUUAAAUAUCCUAAUACACACGUUUUCUGUUUAAUAUUUUGUUGUUACU